GAUGAACGCUAGCGGCAGGCCUAAUACAUGCAAGUCGGACGGGAUUGAGAAGCUUGCUUUUCAUGAGAGUGGCGCACGGGUGCGUAACACGUAUGUAAACUACCUUAAUCAGGGGGAUAGCCUCUCGAAAGAGAGAUUAACACCGCAUAAAAUCAAUUUAUGGCAUCAUACAAUGAUCAAAUAGUUAUAGGAUUAAGAUGGGCAUGCGGAACAUUAGCUAGUGGGUAAGGUAACGGCUUACCAAGGCUACGAUGUUUAGGGAAUCUGAGAGGAUGACCCCCCACACUGGUACUGAGACACGGACCAGACUCCUACGGGAGGCAGCAGUAAGGAAUAUUGGUCAAUGGGCGCAAGCCUGAACCAGCCAUGCCGCGUGCAGGAAGACGGCCCUACGGGUUGUAAACUGCUUUUGUACCGGAAUAAACCUUUGUAUGUAUACGAAGCUGAAUGUACGGUAAGAAUAAGGAUCGGCUAACUCCGUGCCAGCAGCCGCCGUAA
Molecule: ribosomal RNA, 498 nt
Filed under: uncultured bacterium
Lineage: Bacteria
Description: partial 16S ribosomal RNA
Rfam family: Bacterial small subunit ribosomal RNA
Source: RNAcentral